RNAcentral lists this transfer RNA (71 nucleotides) under Loxodonta africana (African savanna elephant). It matches the Rfam family "tRNA". From Rfam's summary of the family: Transfer RNA (tRNA) molecules are approximately 80 nucleotides in length. Their secondary structure includes four short double-helical elements and three loops (D, anti-codon, and T loops). The record is from Rfam by way of RNAcentral. Lineage: Eukaryota; Metazoa; Chordata; Mammalia; Proboscidea; Elephantidae.
GCAUUGGUGGUUAAGUGGUAGAAUUCUCACCUUCCACGUGGGAGACCUGGGUUUGAUUCCCAGCCAACGCA